This 229-nucleotide long non-coding RNA is filed under the name Elaeis guineensis (African oil palm). Its description in RNAcentral is "long non-coding RNA (EGUI_LNC034095)". Lineage: Eukaryota; Viridiplantae; Streptophyta; Magnoliopsida; Arecales; Arecaceae. The record is from RNAcentral.
GGCUGGGAUUCUUACUCGGGCUGGGCCUCACAAUUCGUAUCUUCCUCAAUAUGUAGGUCCUCCUUCAAAUCACAAUAAUCGACUAAUGUAUCGUCUUCUAUCUCAUCAUCAUUUAUGAACUGAUCGUCGCCCUCUGACUCAUUAAGAUUAAAUAUAAAAUCAACUUCAACUUCGUUGGGCGACCGAUCAGCCCUAUUCAAAGGAGCUGUUACAAGUCUUCAUCAACAAG